AACGCACGAGACCUGCGGACCUGCGGAAGGAUCAUUACCGAGUUAUACAACUCCCAAACCCACUGUGAACCUUACCUCAGUUGCCUCGGCGGGACCGCCCCGGCCGCCGCGCAAGCGGCGCCGGACUCCAAGGCGCCCGCCGCAGGGACCCAAAACUCUUUUGCAUUACGCCCAACGGCGGGAAUUUUUUCUCUGAGUGCAUAAGCAAAACAAAUGAAUCAAAACUUUUAACAACGGAUC
This 240-nucleotide unclassified non-coding RNA is filed under the name soil metagenome. RNAcentral describes it as "partial contains 5.8S ribosomal RNA, internal transcribed spacer 2, and large subunit ribosomal RNA". The record is from RNAcentral.